GAUGAAGAACGCAGCGAAAUGCGAUACUUGGUGUGAAUUGCAGAAUCCCGUGAACCAUCGAGUCUUUGAACGCAAGUUGCGCCCGAAGCCAUUAGGCCGAGGGCACGCCUGCCUGGGCGUCACACGUCGUUGCCCCCCCAUCUACUCCUUCGGGAUUGCGGGGGGCGGAUGAUGGCCUCCCGUGCGCCUCGUCGCGCGGUUGGCAUAAAUGCCAAGUCCUCGGCGACGCACGCCACGACAAUCGGUGGUUGCGAAACCUCGGUUGCCCGUCGUGUGCGGUCGUCGCGCAUCGAGGGCUCGAAAAAAUUGCCGGGCUCCGGCUCGGCUUUCAACGCGACCCCAGGUCAGGCGGGGUUACCCGCUGAAUUUAAGCUUAUCAAUAAGCGGAGGA
RNAcentral lists this unclassified non-coding RNA (391 nucleotides) under soil metagenome. RNAcentral describes it as "partial contains 5.8S ribosomal RNA, internal transcribed spacer 2, and large subunit ribosomal RNA". The stretch from base 1 to 122 matches the Rfam family "5.8S ribosomal RNA", at positions 35 to 154 of the family's 154-position model. The record is from RNAcentral.